CUUGGGAAAACAAGUCUGUUUGCCCAAUUUGGGUCAUAUUUCCACGUCCAUGUUACUCAGGCAUGAUUCAUCUGCAAGUUAUGUGUAUAGAUAUUUUGCUACUGUUCCACCCUUACGCUGUGCUGGGGAGGGAGGUGUCACUGUGAGCUGUGUCGGUGCCUUAAGAGAUAUCUGUUGUGUCUUAUUACUUGGUUGCUUUUCCCCACAUGUACAAUGACAAAAAUGCCUUCAACCUAUUUGAUCCAGCCGUUCCAGUACAACUCCUAUACUUGCCAUCUUUCCAAGCCCAAAGCUAUAGUUCCUCAUGGUCCUGCACUCCAUGGACUAAAUUAUGAUGAAACUGAAACACAAAAAAUUUAGAUUAACUCUUAGGUGACAAAGCCAGGAUUGAAGCUCAUGCGGUCUGGCUCCAGAACAACUCUUCUUCAUAGUUACGUUAUACUGCCCCUGCAUUGUUGGUAUUGAAAAUAACUGAUACCGUGCUUCCAGAAGAUUUUUCUAACAGUGUUUGCAAGCUAUAAAAUAGUGCUUUCACUUAGAAAAGGCUAGACGUGGUGGUUCAUGCCUGUAAUCCCAGCACUUUGAGAGGCCGAGGCACCAUGCUGGGAGAUAAGGAUCCAACAUAAGACAAACAGUGCUGAUGCUUUUGGAAAGCUCAUAUUCAAGCUGGGGAGACAAACAACAUACAAGUGGCUGUAGCUACCUUCUGCAUAUGGAUAUCCAGUUUUCCCAGCACCACUUAUUAAAGAGACUGUCUUUUCUGCAGUGUAUAUUCUUGGCACCGUUGUUGAAAAUGAAUUCAUUGUAGGUGUGUGGGUUUGUUUCUGGGUUCUCUAUUCUGUUCAACUUGUCUAUGUGUCUGUUUUUAUGCCAGUACCGUGUCAUUUUAGU
This 891-nucleotide long non-coding RNA is filed under the name Homo sapiens (human). RNAcentral describes it as "non-protein coding CCDC18-AS1:24". The record is from RNAcentral. Lineage: Eukaryota; Metazoa; Chordata; Mammalia; Primates; Hominidae.